Molecule: long non-coding RNA, 763 nt
Organism: Oxyura jamaicensis (ruddy duck)
Lineage: Eukaryota; Metazoa; Chordata; Aves; Anseriformes; Anatidae
Exons: 2
Source: RefSeq, a predicted model, not a curated record
GACCCCCGCCGGGGCGCAGAGGUUGCGGUGCUGUGCCCGUCGCUGCACCCACCGGAGGGGUUGGGUUUUGGGGCUGGGGGCUGCGGCGUAACGCGCCCCCGGUCCCGCUGCCGCACCUCGUGUGGUGCAGGCUUGGGCUGCCCUCCCCGGGUGGUCGCAGCCGCGCGAGGAGCGCGGUGGGUUUGGUGAGGGGCUCCGAGACCCCUCGCUCCCGCUGGGCGCCAAGCCCGCUGCAGCACGGGCAGGGCCGGGGGGCUGCAGCCCGCUGCGCCCACCCCAUGUCGCUGCUCGGGGCCAUCCCCGAGCUGUUAUUCCAGCAGCGACCUGACCCUCACAGCGGGACCCCCAGCUGCACCCCGUGAAGCCCCCCGUGCUCCCGUUGCCCCACAUGGCUGUUCUCUGCUGUUGAGUGCUGUGCUCCUGUUGCAUUUUGGCAGUUGCUGAGGCCGCAGUGUGUGUGGAAGGAGUCAGGACACUUCGCGACUGUGUGCUAUUUCAGCGGAAAACAUGCAGGAUUUUGGUGCGAGCGGCGGAGGGGGGCUCCGGCUGAAAGGCACGGUGCGCUGCCGCUUUGCCCCGGCCGUGGAAGGCAGCUGAACAAAGGCAACAUUAUACCUUGUGCCGGGGAAGGAAUGACUUGGACGCACAUGCAAAACAGCUCCGCCGUGCUGCGCGCCUUAUAAAUAUCCCCGUUUGUAAAGCCCGAAGCCCAUCUGACCACAAACGAUCUGUCCACCCAAUAAAUAUGCGAGCGAAAGAGCAA